RNAcentral lists this ribosomal RNA (117 nucleotides) under Syntrophus sp. (in: bacteria). Lineage: Bacteria; Pseudomonadati; Thermodesulfobacteriota; Syntrophia; Syntrophales; Syntrophaceae. The record is from RNAcentral.
CUCGGUAGUUAUAGCGGAGAGGACCCACCCGUUCCCAUCCCGAACACGGAAGUUAAGCUCUCUUGCGCCGAUGGUACUGCACGGGCGACUGUGUGGGAGAGUAGGGAGCUGCCGGGA